RNAcentral lists this ribosomal RNA (490 nucleotides) under uncultured bacterium. RNAcentral describes it as "partial 16S ribosomal RNA". It matches the Rfam family "Bacterial small subunit ribosomal RNA", at positions 30 to 507 of the family's 1533-position model. The record is from RNAcentral.
AUUGAACGCUGGCGGCAGGCCUAACACAUGCAAGUCGAACGGUAACAGGAAGAUGCUUGCUUCUUUGCUGACGAGUGGCGGACGGGUGGGGAAUGUCCUGGAAACUGCCUGAUGGAGGGGGAUAACUACUGGAAACGGUAGCUAAUACCACAUAACGUCGCAAGACCGAAGAGGGGGACCUUCGGGCGUCUUGCCUGCAGAUGUGCCCAGAUGGGUUUGGCUAGUAGGUGGGGUAACGGCUCACCUAGUCGACGAUCCCUAGCUGGACUGAGAGGAUGACCAGCCGCACGGGAACUGGGCCACGGUCCAGACUCCUACGGGAGGCAGCAGUGGGGAAUAUUGGACAAUGGGCGCAAGCCUGAUGCAGUCAUGCCGCGUGUAUGAAGAAGGCCUUCGGGUUGUAAAGUACUUUUAGCGGGGAGGAAGCGAGUAAAGUUAAUACCUUUACUCAUUGACGUUACCCUCAGAAGAAGCACCGGCUAACUCCGUG